This 497-nucleotide ribosomal RNA is filed under the name uncultured bacterium. Its description in RNAcentral is "partial 16S ribosomal RNA". It matches the Rfam family "Bacterial small subunit ribosomal RNA", at positions 28 to 507 of the family's 1533-position model. The record is from RNAcentral.
GAUGAACGCUGGCGGCGUGCCUAAUACAUGCAAGUAGAGCGAACAGACGAGGAGCUUGCUCCUCUUACAUUAGCGGCGGACGGGUGAGUAACACGUGGAUAACCUACCUAUAAGCCUGGGAUAACUUCGGGAAACCGUAGCUAAUACCGGAUAACAAUUUGAACCGCAUGGUUUAAUAGUGAAAGACGGUUUUGCUGCCACAUAUAGAUGGCUUCGCGCCGCUUUAGCUAUAUGGUAAGGUACCGGCUUACCAAGGCGACGUUCCUAAGCCGACCUGAGAGGUGAACGGGCCAAACUGGAACGGGACCACGCUCCAGACUCCUACGGAAGGAGGCGGAAGGGAUUCUUCGGCAAUGGGCGAAAGCCUGACGGGGCAACGCCGCGGGGUGGAUGAAGGUCUUCGAAUGGUAAACCUUGUUGAUUGGGGAGGAAGAAUGGUGGAGGUAACUGUGCACGUCUUGACGGUAGCUAAUCAGAAAGCCACGGCUAACUACGUG